UACGUAGGAGGCGAGCGUUGUCCGGAGUUACUGGGCGUAAAGGGUGCGUAGGCGGCUUUUUAAGUUUGGUGUGAAAUCUCCCGGCUCAACUGGGAGGGUGCGCCGAAUACUGAGAGGCUAGAGUGUGGGAGAGGAAAGUGGAAUUCCUGGUGUAGCGGUGAAAUGCGUAGAUAUCAGGAGGAACACCGGUGGUGUAAACGGCUUUCUGGACCAUAACUGACGCUGAUGCACGAAAGCGUGGGUAGCAAACAGG
RNAcentral lists this ribosomal RNA (253 nucleotides) under uncultured bacterium. Its description in RNAcentral is "partial 16S ribosomal RNA". It matches the Rfam family "Bacterial small subunit ribosomal RNA", at positions 524 to 776 of the family's 1533-position model. The record is from RNAcentral.